CUUUCUGGAUUUAUUAGUUUAAUAGGGGCUUCUGUCUGUGUUGUGAUAGAGAGUUUCUUUGUGCUUAGUGGUCGUGUUCAGAUGUGUUCUGUUAAUCUGAGAGAGGAAGCAGAGGUGGGAGGUAGCCUUGCAGUCUACACAGAUGUAGUUUGGAUAGCUAACAAUCUUCCAGAGCCACCCAAAGGAUUAGAACUGGUGCCAACAAUCCAGCACCAGAGGCAGCCCAUUUGCCACGCGGCUUAUAAUAAUGAUUUCAAUGAAGUUCAGCACCUUCUGGAGAAAAACAGCAACUAUCUGAAUGUCCAGGACAGAUUUAGUGGAGAUACACCCUUGAUUUGUGCAUGCAAACGGGGCAACAGCAGAAUAGUUAGCUAUCUUCUACAAAGAAAUGCUGAUGUCAACCUCAGGAACAAGAAGGAACGCACUUGCCUGCAUUAUGCUGUGAGAAAACGGUUUAGUUUCCUUGACUAUGUGCUCAUCAUCAUCCUCAUGCCGGUUAUGCUUAUUGGAUAUCUUCUUAUGAUCUCGAAAACUAAACAGAAUGAAAACUUGAUUAAGAUGUUGCUGAGGGCUGGUGUCAAUGUUAAUGCUGCAGACUUCUCUGGUAGCACAGCCCUUCACUAUGCUUGUGAAAUGAAAAACCUGGCAGUUGUUUCUCUACUGCUUGAAGCUCAUGCAGACCCUUCUGUUAAGAAUCAGGAGGGGGAGACUCCUUUGGAUAUAGCCAGAAGAUUACAGUUCAGCAACAUUGAAAGCAUGCUGAAGAAAACUUCUUAGUGCUUGAUGAUAUUCUAUAAAGGGCUCUGGAACAUGAAAAAACAUUUUCCAGUCUGGCAAGCUGUCUUGCACAGCAGCAGCAGGAGUCCUGUUAUAGGCUGAUGUAUUUGUCAGAGGCCUUGUCCAAACCCAUCUGCUCUUUGCUGAAGACUUUAACUGCUUUGUGUGUUGGAGAGCUGUCAGGAUUCCAAGGCCAUUUGGCUGUAAGACUUGAUGUACAGCAAAAGUCUCAAGCAUGGGCUCAAAUCCUCUGCCAGAAGAACUAGAAUUAACACCAGGGUUAAGCUCCACUUGCUCAGCUAUACUGAUCAGUACUGCUGAGGGGGCACCAAGCAGAACUGGAAAGUAUGGACCUAGGAGCUAGUCAGCCUUGGGACGAGGCAGGUACUCAGCCUGGUGUGGUACAGCUCCAUCCCCAGAAGAUCAGGGGAGAAGCGACACGUUGGGUUCUCUCUGGCAGCCGCCAGGCUCCCUAUCGCAGCGCAGGGGAGCGUGGCCCGCCGCACUGUCCCAUGCGUGUGACACCUUUCCCCCGCGCUCAGCUGCAGCACAGGCAGAAUCUUAGGUGUCUGCUGCCUGUGGGACAUUGGACAAGAUGAAGAGUUUAUCAAGGAGCAUACCCAAGGACCCAGUACUCAGUUCGUUGAUACCAUGAGAAGAAAGUAUUCAAACAUGGGUACAUAGGGCCAUUUGAGACACCCUUGAGUACCCUGUCUACCUCUAGGAAUUGUGCUAGGCUGUGAGUGUAUUUGGAUCAUGUUUGGAGGAACCUUACCUGUUAAAGAUAUUUUUUAACAAAGCUAUUAACGCAAAAUGACUGGACUUGCAGUAUCCUU
Nothoprocta perdicaria is the source of this 1613-nucleotide RNA transcript. It is a transcript of the gene named ankyrin repeat domain 22, with no coding region annotated. The transcript is spliced from 10 exons. NCBI's taxonomy places the organism in Eukaryota, Metazoa, Chordata, Aves, Tinamiformes, Tinamidae. The record is from RefSeq and is a predicted model, not a curated record.